GACGAACGCUGGCGGCGUGCCUAAUACAUGCAAGUAGAACGCUGAAGGAGGAGCUUGCUUCUCUGGAUGAGUUGCGAACGGGUGAGUAACGCGUAGGUAACCUGCCUGGUAGUGGGGGAUAACUAUUGGAAACGAUAGCUAAUACCGCAUAAUAGCAGUUGUUGCAUGAUAACUGUUUGAAAGGUGCAAUUGCACCGCUACCAGAUGGACCUGCGUUGUAUUAGCUAGUUGGCGGGGUAACGGCUCACCAAGGCGACGAUACAUAGCCGACCUGAGAGGGUGAUCGGCCACACUGGGACUGAGACACGGCCCAGACUCCUACGGGAGGCAGCAGUAGGGAAUCUUCGGCAAUGGACGGAAGUCUGACCGAGCAACGCCGCGUGAGUGAAGAAGGGUUUCGGAUCGUAAAGCUCUGUUGUAAGAGAAGAACGAGUGUGAGAGUGGAAAGUUCACACUGUGACGGUAUCUUACCAGAAAGGGACGGCUAACUACGUG
RNAcentral lists this ribosomal RNA (495 nucleotides) under uncultured bacterium. RNAcentral describes it as "partial 16S ribosomal RNA". It matches the Rfam family "Bacterial small subunit ribosomal RNA", at positions 28 to 507 of the family's 1533-position model. The record is from RNAcentral.